This 169-nucleotide ribosomal RNA is filed under the name uncultured bacterium. RNAcentral describes it as "partial 16S ribosomal RNA". It matches the Rfam family "Bacterial small subunit ribosomal RNA", at positions 1334 to 1500 of the family's 1533-position model. The record is from RNAcentral.
ACUAGUAAUCGCAGAUCAGAAUGCUGCGGUGAAUGCGUUCCCGGGUCUUGUACACACCGCCCGUCACACCACGGAAGUUGGGGGCGCCCGAAGCCACUUAGCUAACCCAUUUGGGAAGCGAGUGUCGAAGGUGAAAUCAAUAACUGGGGUGAAGUCGUAACAAGGUAAC